GAUGAACGCUGGCGGCGUGCCUAAUACAUGCAAGUCGAACGCUUUGUGGUUCAACUGAUUUGAAGAGCUUGCUCAGAUAUGACGAUGGACAUUGCAAAGAGUGGCGAACGGGUGAGUAACACGUGGGAAACCUACCUCUUAGCAGGGGAUAACAUUUGGAAACAGAUGCUAAUACCGUAUAACAAUGACAACCGCAUGGUUGUUAUUUAAAAGAUGGUUCUGCUAUCACUAAGAGAUGGUCCCGCGGUGCAUUAGCUAGUUGGUAAGGUAAUGGCUUACCAAGGCGAUGAUGCAUAGCCGAGUUGAGAGACUGAUCGGCCACAAUGGGACUGAGACACGGCCCAUACUCCUACGGGAGGCAGCAGUAGGGAAUCUUCCACAAUGGGCGAAAGCCUGAUGGAGCAACGCCGCGUGUGUGAUGAAGGGUUUCGGCUCGUAAAACACUGUUGUAAGAGAAGAAUGACAUUGAGAGUAACUGUUCAAUGUGUGACGGUAUCUUACCAGAAAGGAACGGCUAAAUACGUGCCAGCAGCCGCGGUAAUACGUAUGUUCCAAGCGUUAUCCGGAUUUAUUGGGCGUAAAGCGAGCGCAGACGGUUAUUUAAGUCUGAAGUGAAAGCCCUCAGCUCAACUGAGGAAUUGCUUUGGAAACUGGAUGACUUGAGUGCAGUAGAGGAAAGUGGAACUCCAUGUGUAGCGGUGAAAUGCGUAGAUAUAUGGAAGAACACCAGUGGCGAAGGCGGCUUUCUGGACUGUAACUGACGUUGAGGCUCGAAAGUGUGGGUAGCAAACAGGAUUAGAUACCCUGGUAGUCCACACCGUAAACGAUGAGUGCUAGGUGUUUGAGGGUUUCCGCCCUUAAGUGCCGCAGCUAACGCAUUAAGCACUCCGCCUGGGGAGUACGACCGCAAGGUUGAAACUCAAAGGAAUUGACGGGGACCCGCACAAGCGGUGGAGCAUGUGGUUUAAUUCGAAGCAACGCGAAGAACCUUACCAGGUCUUGACAUCCCUUGACAACUCCAGAGAUGGAGCGUUCCCUUCGGGGACAAGGUGACAGGUGGUGCAUGGUUGUCGUCAGCUCGUGUCGUGAGAUGUUGGGUUAAGUCCCGCAACGAGCGCAACCCUUAUUACUAGUUGCCAGCAUUCAGUUGGGCACUCUAGUGAGACUGCCGGUGACAAACCGGAGGAAGGUGGGGAUGACGUCAAAUCAUCAUGCCCCUUAUGACCUGGGCUACACACGUGCUACAAUGGCGUAUACAACGAGUUGCCAACCCGCGAGGGUGAGCUAAUCUCUUAAAGUACGUCUCAGUUCGGAUUGUAGGCUGCAACUCGCCUACAUGAAGUCGGAAUCGCUAGUAAUCGCGGAUCAGCACGCCGCGGUGAAUACGUUCCCGGGUCUUGUACACACCGCCCGUCACACCAUGAGAGUUUGUAACACCCAAAGCCGGUGGGGUAACCUUCGGGAGCCAGCCGUCUAAGGUGGGACAGAUGAUUGGGGUG
Molecule: ribosomal RNA, 1499 nt
Filed under: Weissella confusa
Lineage: Bacteria; Bacillati; Bacillota; Bacilli; Lactobacillales; Lactobacillaceae
Description: bacterial SSU rRNA
Rfam family: Bacterial small subunit ribosomal RNA
Source: RNAcentral